GACGAACGCUAGCGGCAUGCUUAACACAUGCAAGUCGAACGGUAUUUCCCUUCUGUUGUGGAGUGCGCGGGGCACGGGUGCGUGACUCGCAUGUAAGUAACCUGUCUUUGGCUGUGGGCUUUCCUAAAGGAACUUUAAUUCCUCCUAAUUUGUUGAUUCGGCUCCCUGGUUAGGGUAGGCUCGUUUGGGCGGAUAUGGGCAGGCUCGAGAUUAGUUAGUUGGUUAGGUAACGGCUCACUUAGCCAAUGAUCUAUAGGGGGCCUGAGAGUGUGAGCCCCCACACGGGUACUGAGACACGGACCAGACUGCUACGGGAGGCAGCAGUGCGGAAUAUUGGACAAUGGGUUAGCGCCUGAUCCAGCCAUCCCGGGUGAAGGACGACGGCCCUAUGGGUUGUAAACUUCUUUUGUAUAGGGAUAAACCUACUCUCGUGAGAGUAGCUGAAGGUACUAGACGAAUAAGCACCGGCUAACUACGUG
Molecule: ribosomal RNA, 479 nt
Filed under: uncultured bacterium
Lineage: Bacteria
Description: partial 16S ribosomal RNA
Rfam family: Bacterial small subunit ribosomal RNA
Source: RNAcentral